This 366-nucleotide RNase P RNA is filed under the name Burkholderiales bacterium. RNAcentral describes it as "RNase P RNA component class A". It matches the Rfam family "Bacterial RNase P class A". From Rfam's summary of the family: Ribonuclease P (RNase P) is a ubiquitous endoribonuclease, found in archaea, bacteria and eukarya as well as chloroplasts and mitochondria. Its best characterised activity is the generation of mature 5'-ends of tRNAs by cleaving the 5'-leader elements of precursor-tRNAs. The record is from RNAcentral. Lineage: Bacteria; Pseudomonadati; Pseudomonadota; Betaproteobacteria; Burkholderiales.
GAAGUUCGCCAGGCCGUCGCUGGUGCAAUCGCCGAAAGGCCGCACUGGAGGAACGUCCGGACUGCACAGGGCAGCGUAGCAGGCAACACCUGUCCACCGCGAGGUGAGGAUCAGAGCAACAGAGACGAGUCCUCCAGGUCCGCGCAAGCGGGGCUGGAGGGGUGAAACGGGCAAUCUCUACGCGCAGCAAUACCAAAUAGGCCGGUGCACGGAGGGCGGCACGUCCGACCUCCCGAUCCCGUGGUCCCGCGGGCAGCCGGCGGGUAGGUAGCACCGAGCCGUGGGGGCGACCCCCGGCCCAGAAGAAUGGCGGUCACGCCCGGGCGACCGGGCGCACAAAAUCCGGCGUAUCGGCGGACUUCACAU